RNAcentral lists this unclassified non-coding RNA (254 nucleotides) under Hevea brasiliensis (rubber tree). The record is from RNAcentral. Lineage: Eukaryota; Viridiplantae; Streptophyta; Magnoliopsida; Malpighiales; Euphorbiaceae.
UAACAUUACCAGUUCAGAAUAAUUAAUUGGUCUUUAAGAGCAGAAAGUGUUUGGGUGAGUAAAGCCUAAACAAAUUGAGGGCUGAAAUGGAGGAUAUAAAGCCCAUAAAGGCACAGGCUAUGUAGCUGCAGAUCAAAGCACCUNNNNNNNNNUUGGUCGCAGAAUCUGGUGAACUUGUUGCACCACUUCAUCCACUGCAUGGCCUCAGCUCCUGUCACUACCAAAACUGAGUGCUCUAGUGCUGCUGAGGUUGC